UACGGGGGGAGCAAGCGUUGUUCGGAUUUACUGGGCGUAAAGGGCGCGUAGGCGGUCAGCACAAGUCAGUUGUGAAAUCUCCGAGCUUAACUCGGAAAGGUCAACUGAUACUGUGCGACUAGAGUGCGGAAGGGGCAACUGGAAUUCUUGGUGUAGCGGUGAAAUGCGUAGAUAUCAAGAGGAACACCUGCGGCGAAGGCGGGUUGCUGGGCCGACACUGACGCUGAGGCGCGAAAGUGUGGGGAGCGAACAGG
This 254-nucleotide ribosomal RNA is filed under the name uncultured bacterium. RNAcentral describes it as "partial 16S ribosomal RNA". It matches the Rfam family "Bacterial small subunit ribosomal RNA", at positions 524 to 776 of the family's 1533-position model. The record is from RNAcentral.